GUGUUUAUAAUGAUCCUAACUUGGCUCGCCGGGAAAUCCAACAGAGAUAAUAUCUAUGCUCUCCAAAACUCAAUAGACUACCUAGAGGAGUCCCUUGAGUACUUUAAAAAAGAGGCUUGAGGAAGCAAAAGUAAAGCACCGGGCAAAUAACAGAGCCGGUGGUUUAUUGUUAUACAAAAUAAAGGUUCUGAACGACCGAGCAGCUCAACGUGUUCAAGGUUUUCAGAUCUCUGUACAUAACGACGCAUGUUCGGCAAGAAGACGCUGACGCAGCGUCCGAGUAAACUGAAAUACAUACGCACCACUGUAAAACAAAACACAGAUGAGAGAGAAAAUGAUCGCCAGCAUUUAACGCGGCAUCGGAUUUUCGAAAAGGAUAGACGCCAUUAAAUCCGGCGAUCCAAACUAAGUCAUCCCAGACCUUUAAAUGAUUGCCGCGCGACCAAUUCCAGCUAAUUAUAUUUCACCUACACGUUUUAAAUAUUGCCGCAGACGCAAGUUUCAGCGUCUUUGCAAAGAACAGGGUUAUUUUCACUACUUUUUCUUAACACAGUUGAUUAUACUGGAGAAACUGAAAAAGGGAGCGAUGCAAAGGUUGCAGAAUGAAGAUUCCACGGCCAAGAAGUCAACUAAUGUGUUUAUUUACUUUUGUUUGUUCCUUUUAGUAUUAAAAUAUUUUGCGUCAUUCUAGCUCGUUAUAUUCUUCUUCUACUAGAACAGUUAAAAUUAGAAAUUUUAACUUUGGGUUUGAGAUGUUAAUAAAUCAUAAAGAUGGGAUCGAGUACCUUUUUUAAAGCAUAAUAAUUACUAAGCAUUCAUAAUGUUCAA
Molecule: long non-coding RNA, 828 nt
Organism: Brassica oleracea var. oleracea
Lineage: Eukaryota; Viridiplantae; Streptophyta; Magnoliopsida; Brassicales; Brassicaceae
Exons: 4
Source: RefSeq, a predicted model, not a curated record